Molecule: long non-coding RNA, 916 nt
Filed under: Mytilus galloprovincialis (Mediterranean mussel)
Lineage: Eukaryota; Metazoa; Mollusca; Bivalvia; Mytilida; Mytilidae
Source: RNAcentral
GUACCAUACAGUAAAGCAAAAUAAUUAUAAAAUGAGAUAUACAUAAGAAGAUUGAGUAUGAGUGCCAAUGAGACAACUCUCCAUCCAAAUCACAAUGCAUAACAAUUUUAUAGCUCAAAGUACAGCUUUUUACGCAGAGCAUACACCGCACAGUAAGCUAUUGAGGGGUGUAAGAUGACAAGUUAAACAAUUCAAACAGACAAAACUAAUGGUAUAACCUAUAUAAAACAAGAGGCUUUCAGAGUGACAGCAAACCAGAUUUCCUACAGAGGUCGAAUCAUGAACAGUUGAGAAAGUAUGGACACUACAUUUAAGCUUUAAACUGCACUGAAUUUGGAUUGUGAUUGAUUAUUUGACUCAUCAUAGUUUUUGACACAAAAUGAAUGUGGUCAAAGAACUAAACCAUUGGAAAUUGAAAAAUUACCUAAUAUGGUCCAAUAUCAAAAGUAUAUUGUUAGAAUCAGUAUAUCAAAAAACCCAAGGAAUUACUUUUUUGAUAAAAUGAAACGAAGUUUAAUUUUAGUUAGGACACGUUUGACCUAAAUGUGGACCAAUUUGAUUAAUGAGCCGACAAUCAAAAAUCUCUAAAUACAUGUUACAAUUGGCAUUUCAAAGAACCCCAUACAUUCUAUUUUUAUUGAAAUCAAACAAAUUCUCAAUUUUUACCUUGAUUUUGACCAACUUGAAAACUGGACCCAAAAAGAUAAUAUAUAAACACAGGUUUUGAUUCAGCAUUUGAAAGAACUGUCUCUAUAUAUAUGUUACAGUAAUUUUUCUAAAUUGAGACAUUUUGUAAAAUGACUGAAUUUUUAGGCAUUUUCUAAAAUGCCUAAAGUUGACAGGCAUUUUAUGAAAUGCCUAAAUAAACCUAGUCAUUUUGUAAAAUGCCUGUAAGUUUUAAUGAAAAUUUUAAAAA